GGCUCUCUGCUAGUUAUAAAAAUGAGAAUAGAGAGUCUGACCUGCCCGGUGAUGUAGGAAUUAAACGGCCGCAGUACCCUGACUGUGCAAAGGUAGCAUAAUCAUUUGCCUUUUAAUUGAGGGCUAGUAUGAAAGGUUUGACGUGGACUAAGCUGUCUCCUGAGAAUUAUAUAGAAAUUAAUUUUUAGGUGAAAAAGCCUAAAUUUAGUUAUGGGACGAGAAGACCCCGUUGAGCUUUAACUAAUCUUGAGAAUAGGGAAAACAAUAAAGUGUAUUGAACUAAUUUUUAAGGUGUUUUUAGUGGGGGAAAACGGAGGAACAAAUGAAGCUUCCUCUUUUUAUAGUAAAUUAAGUAACACUUAAAAGGUGUGAAUAUAGUUAGAAAAUAAAUUAAGGCUGAUGUGCAGAGGUUUAAUAAAAGGAUCCGUUUAAUGUAUAAAAACGAUUAAGGGAGAGAGUUACCACGGGGAUAACAGCGUAAUUUCUUCUGGAGAGUUCAUAUUGAAGGAGGGGUUUGCGACCUCGAUGUUGGAUUAAGACAUCCUGAGGGUGUAGCAGCUUUCAAGGGUUGGUCUGUUCGACCAUAAAAGUCUUACA
Molecule: ribosomal RNA, 597 nt
Filed under: Lepetodrilus elevatus
Lineage: Eukaryota; Metazoa; Mollusca; Gastropoda; Lepetellida; Lepetodrilidae
Description: partial 16S ribosomal RNA
Rfam family: Bacterial large subunit ribosomal RNA
Source: RNAcentral